RNAcentral lists this long non-coding RNA (1459 nucleotides) under Astyanax mexicanus (Mexican tetra). RNAcentral describes it as "lncRNA (ENSAMXG00005008888.1)". Lineage: Eukaryota; Metazoa; Chordata; Actinopteri; Characiformes; Acestrorhamphidae. The record is from RNAcentral.
AAACAAUUGAAUGUUAGUUAAAUGUUAGGUGAAUAUCUGUGAGGCAUCUACUGUAUAAUAGACCAAAAUCUUUAAUUUAGGCCAGAUUGGGGCAAAGUUGAACUUGGUCUUCUUGUUUUUGCAGUUGCCGUUCUGGAUGAAGGACCGAGAUAUAGUAGUAAUGCCUACCAAUGGGAGACAACGGAGUGGCUUCCUGGUUUGGAAUCUGAAGAGGCUCGCGGGCGUUCACCUACCCCUCCUCCUCCACCUCUCCCAGCCCCUCUGCCCCCCCUCACUCUUACCCCUAGUCGGCUGGGCGGCAGCUUCCGCCUGGGGGCCGGUGCGCGCCCCCUACAGACAGGUUACCCGCUGCGGCGGUACGAAGGCCAGAGAGACUUCCACUCGUCACUGAGCCGGGACGAGUGUUCCUCACCGGUGUACGAGGAGUACCGGGAGGACGAGGGCCAUUACGACAGGCUCCCGGCCGUGCGACCCCCUUACAGGGGCUACGGCGAGGGCCGGGCCAGCCCCUCGUGCUAUCACUCGGGCCACAGCCAACCCCCUUCACACCCACCCCUGCUGGCCUGGGAGGAAAGACCGCGGGUCUGGGAAGAAUCGCGUCCCUUUGGCAGCCAGAGGGAAAUUAGCAGACUUUCAGACAGGCACUCGCUACGGGCCCGACCCCAGCGGGCUGAACAAAACAGCCCCUUCAGGUCACUGUCUGCAAUGGGUCAGUAUGAACACUACUGACAGUGAAGUGGCACUUUUUUGGACUACAUAUUGAGACUGGAAUGCUCUAUAUGCUCUUUUGACUACUUGCUUAAAACUGCCCAUGUCAUCGCAAUGCCAGCAUAUUUACACAAAAUACAUGGACCAACAAGAAAAGGAAACAAAAAAAAAGACUUCAGAAAUGAACCUUGAAGGCAAGGCCUAAAUACCAUGGUGUACAGGGGUUGGACAAUGAACCUGAAACACCUGUCGUCAUUUUAGUGUGGGAGGUUUCAUGGCUAAACUGGACCAGCCUGGUGGCCAAUCUUCAUUAAUUGCACAUUGCACCAGUAAGAGCAGAGUGUGAAGGUUCAAUUAGCAGGGUAAGAGCACAGUUCUGCUCAAAAUAUUGCAAUGCACACAACAUUAUGGGAGACAUACCAGAGUUCAAAAGAGGGCAAAUUGUUGGUGCACGUCUUGCUGGAGCAUCUGUGACCAAGACAGCAAGUCUUUGUGAUGCAUCAACAGCCACGAUAUCCAGGGUAAUGUCAGCAUACCACCAAGAAGGACCAACCACAUCCAACAGGAUUAACUGUGGACGCUGUAAGAGGAAGCUGUCAGAAAGGGAUGUUCGGGUGCUGACCCGAAUUGUAUCCAAAAAACAUAAAAACCACAGCUGCCCAAAUCACGGAAGAACCCAAUGUUCACCUCAACUCUCCUGUUUCCACCAGAACUGUCCGUCACCACAAUAAAUUAUUGUGGUCUAAAACCA